UCCGGUUUAGCUCAGUCGGUAGAGCAGAUGACUGUUAAUCAUCGUGUCCCUGGUUCGAGUCCAGGAAUCGGAGCCA
RNAcentral lists this transfer RNA (76 nucleotides) under Pseudomonas nitroreducens. RNAcentral's name for it is "tRNA-Asn". It matches the Rfam family "tRNA". From Rfam's summary of the family: Transfer RNA (tRNA) molecules are approximately 80 nucleotides in length. Their secondary structure includes four short double-helical elements and three loops (D, anti-codon, and T loops). Lineage: Bacteria; Pseudomonadati; Pseudomonadota; Gammaproteobacteria; Pseudomonadales; Pseudomonadaceae. The record is from RNAcentral.